UAAGGAAUGUGGUUUUUAUUGUAUGAAGUUCAUGAGAGAGUUAAUGGGUGAUUCAUCCCAAUCCAUGGAAAUGAGGGUAUGUCUUGUUUUAGAUAACUAAUAUAUAUAUUCAUGCAUGUAUUUAUGUAUACUGUUUCAAUAUUCUCAGGUAAAGAAUCUGGUUGCUAAGAAGAAUUUCUCAAAGAAUGAUAUUGACGAGCUUUGGGUCAAAUUUAUUGAAUUUGUCCAAUAUUGUAUGGGGGAAUAUGCUGAAGAAUGAAUGUAGUGUUAGGCUUUAUAUAUAGUUUUUUUUUGUUUUUUUUUUUUUUUUUUUUUCUGGUUAAAGUGGAUAUAUCAUCGUAUAUUAUUGAUGAUGGAUUUUUAUUUUGUUUGGAUUUUUUU
This 381-nucleotide long non-coding RNA is filed under the name Aquilegia coerulea. Its description in RNAcentral is "long non-coding RNA (ACOE_LNC002049)". The record is from RNAcentral. Lineage: Eukaryota; Viridiplantae; Streptophyta; Magnoliopsida; Ranunculales; Ranunculaceae.